RNAcentral lists this ribosomal RNA (253 nucleotides) under uncultured bacterium. RNAcentral's name for it is "partial 16S ribosomal RNA". It matches the Rfam family "Bacterial small subunit ribosomal RNA", at positions 524 to 776 of the family's 1533-position model. The record is from RNAcentral.
UACGUAGGGGGCUAGCGUUGUCCGGAAUUACUGGGCGUAAAGGGUGCGUAGGCGGCAUUUUAAGUCAGAUGUGAAAUACCCGGGCUUAACUCGGGGGGUGCAUUUGAAACUGGAAUACUUGAGUGCAGGAGAGGUAAGUGGAAUUCCUAGUGUAGCGGUGAAAUGCGUAGAUAUUAGGAGGAACACCAGUGGCGAAGGCGACUUACUGGACUGUAACUGACGCUGAGGCACGAAAGCGUGGGGAGCAAACAGG